This 461-nucleotide ribosomal RNA is filed under the name uncultured bacterium. Its description in RNAcentral is "partial 16S ribosomal RNA". It matches the Rfam family "Bacterial small subunit ribosomal RNA", at positions 338 to 795 of the family's 1533-position model. The record is from RNAcentral.
CCUACGGGUGGCAGCAGUGAGGAAUAUUGGUCAAUGGACGGAAGUCUGAACCAGCCAUGCCGCGUGCAGGAAGACGGCUCUAUGAGUUGUAAACUGCUUUUGUACAAGGGUAAACCUUAAUACGUGUAUUCAUCUGAAAGUACUGUCCGAAUAAGGAUCGGCUAACUCCGUGCCAGCAGCCGCGGUAAUACGGAGGAUCCAAGCGUUAUCCGAAUUUAUUGGGUUUAAAGGGUGCGUAGGCGGAUUGAUAAGUUAGAGGUGAAAUUUCCGAGCUUAACUCGGGAACUGCCUCUAAUACUGUUGAUCUAGAGAGUAGAUGCGGUAGGCGGAAUGUAUGGUGUAGCGGUGAAAUGCUUAGAGAUCAUACAGAACACCGAUUGCGAAGGCAGCUUACCAAUCUAUAUCUGACGUUGAGGCACGAAAGCGUGGGGAGCAAACAGGAUUAGAUACCCCUGGUAGUC